This 2430-nucleotide long non-coding RNA is filed under the name Podarcis lilfordi (Lilford's wall lizard). The record is from RNAcentral. Lineage: Eukaryota; Metazoa; Chordata; Lepidosauria; Squamata; Lacertidae.
ACUCCCCUACCAACAAAAAAUGGUUUGACCACGAAUGCACUCAGGCAAAACUUAUACUCAGGGAAUGCUUUAAGGUCUUCCAGCAAAAUCCUAACCCUAUCACUAAAUUGGAGUUACAACUUAAAAAAAGAACUACAAAGAGUUAUUAAAAACCAAAAAAGAACCGCAGACUCUCUCAUCUGGCAGGCCCUCAUAAAAGCGUCAAUAGAAAAAGACAAUUCUAACUUCUGGAAAAUCAUCUCCAGUCAAACCAAAGCUCCUAAUGAGGGCACAAUAAUCCCUGCAAAUUCAUGGGAAGAGCACUAUAAAGUGCUGUUUAGGGAACAUUGUCCUUCUGCGCCGCUUAACAUCCCCUUAGAUAAUGAUACACCAUGGCCCCCAACAUCUGAAACUGAAAUCGCUUCGCUAAUUCUACAAAUGAAAUCUGGCAAAGCCCCAGGAAGUGAUUUCAUUGUCGCUGAACUUUUGAAAGCGCAAAUAAACUGGUGGGCCCCGGUCCUUGCAAAUCUAUUUUCAUAUAUAGACAAGACAACUGAAAUCCCUAAAGAUUGGGGACUAGCUAUAAUUGUUCCCAUAUUUAAAAAGGGCAACCCCUCUGAUCCAUCUAAUUAUAGACCAAUUAGUCUCCUGAAUGUGAUCUGUAAACUUUAUACAAAACAUCUAUGCCUAAAAUUAUGGGAAUGGUUAGAUCAUAACAACUUGCUAGAAAUUGAACAAGCAGGGUUUACAUCCGGACGUUCCACCAUUGAUCACUGCUUAGUGUUAGAUUACUUUGUCUAUAAGUAUGCGAAAUAUUGGAAAAAGUCAUUAUAUGCGGCCUUUGUGGACCUAAAGGCAGCAUUUGAUUCUGUAUCUAGGAGCAGGCUCUGGGCCAAAUUGGCCAAUAUGGGUAUUAACAGAAGGUUAUUACUUCUGAUGAUUAAGCUUCAUGAGAACAAUACCCUCCAGAUAAGACUUGCACAGGACGGCAGACUCUCUAGAGAAAUCCCAGUCCAAAGAGGAGUUAGACAAGGAUGCCUAUUAGCCCCAUUCCUAUUUAACAUCUAUGUUAACUCCCUGGUCACAUGCUGCCGUGAAAUUGAAACCCACCCCCCUGUGUUCUCUAAUGGCAGAAAAGUACCAAUUUUAAUGUAUGCGGAUGACGCCGUUCUUCUCUCUCAAACCAAAGUGGGUCUGAAACGUGCCUUAGGAAAGUUUAGUGACCAAUGUAACACUGAACUGCUAACAAUUAACUUUGCCAAAACCAAAAUUGUACAUUUUAACCGCUCCUUCAGGAAGGAUAAUUGGAGCGUAAAGGGAAACGCCAUUGAACAGACUAAGACCUUCCAAUAUUUAGGCAUUACUUUCUCUUAUAAUGCCAAAUUCUCAGCACACUUGACCACAUCAGCUAUAUCAGCAGAAAGAAGUGCAAAUGCUAUCCUUAGAUUAUUCAGAAGGAAAGGAGCUGGCUUCCUCCCGAUGGCCCUAACAGUCUUUCAGGCAAAAUCUUUAGCCCAACUUCUAUAUGGCUCUCAAAUUAGCCCCUCUGCCAACCUUAAGACCCUUGAAACAGUACAAUCUAAAUUCUUAAGAUCAUUAUUUGCUACCCCUAAGUGUACACCUAAUGCAGUCUUAAGGCAAGAGGCAGGACUGCCCAGAGUGGAAUUAAAAGUCUGGGAACAAGCAAUAUCCCUCUGGCUGAAAAUCCAUUACAAUCCUAAGGGUCUAUUACCUUGCUUCCUGGCCGCAGUUCCCUAUCCUCCUUGGCUUAUGCAAAUAACUAACAAGAUCAAACAAAUUGGCCUAAACCCUGAAAAUAUUUUUAUUGGAACUCUGAACAAGGCAAAAGCUACUAUUACUCGGAGACUUUAUGAUAUCGAAUUACAACAAGAAGGCGCCCUACUCCCAGAGACGUAUAGAUGUUUAAAAGCUUGGCCUAAUUUUACAGCUGCCCCUUACUUAACCAACAUCACUAGCGAAGCCUAUAGAUGGGCUUUCUCUAGAGCCCGCUUUGAGACAAUGCCCUCAGCAGUGCUGUACGGCAAAUUCACGCGGGUUCCAAUGCAUGCGCGUCUCUGCCCUUGUAUGUCUAAUAAGGUAGAAUCUGUCACACACAUUCUUCUAUCUUGCGAAUUCUAUAGUGAAGAACGAGCUCAACUUAUUUUACCGCUUUUAUCAAAAUUUAUACCCCUUCAAUAUUAUUUGGAAUCCUCCCUGAAAUUCUUCGAAAAUACCUCCUGGAAGAUUCCUCAAGCUCAGUAUCAUAUGAGGUGGCUAAAUUUUGCACUUUAGUAAUUAAGAAACGUAAAUCUCUUCUGUCGAAUGGCACACUGCGAAGUUCCCUUGUGUAACCUUUUUUCUUUUCUGAAGUUGUUGCUGAUUUCUUGUUGUCUGAUCUUGGGAUGUUUAGUGUCACUGGCUUUGGCCGCAAUAAACUUGAACUUGAACUUG